GUGGGAAAAUUUUCUAAAUUCCCGCUUUAUUUUUCAUUUCUUUCUCAACACAAUUUAGAGAAAAGAAACCCUAUUUUCUCAAACCCCUUUCAUCUUUAUCUCACCCUUUCUGAAAACCUUCUCCCAAAAAUAAUCUUCAGCCACAACCUCUCUCAACCUCUCACACUCUUACAUUCAGUGUCUCUCACCCUCUGCUGCUCUUACACCUCUCUAACGUUUUCGUCAUCUGAGUAUUUCCCGGAUAAGGAUUUCAAGGGGGAAUCUUUCUUUUCCAUGCAUAGUGAGGACACAGAUGAAAGAGCUCCAUGUUACAUUAAGACCCUGGUACUACCAAAAGGCAUAGAUUGUAAAUAUAAACAUUGUGUGAUUGUUAGGCUUAACUUGUGAAUAUAGACACCAAAGGGAUUUGAAGGAUCUUUUGCAGAAGUUUCAUCCUCAGCUAAGAUUGGUACAACAAAGAAUGAUGUUGGCGCCUAUCGAAGUGCUUGUGGCGGUCAUGAAGUUCGUUGCUCUGCUUCUUACGGUUGGAGUUGGGUAUUUUUACUAUGAGUUAUAAAUGUAAAUUUGCAUAGAUCUGAGUGUCUACAUUUGUGUUAUAUAUAUAUAUUGAAUAUUGUAAAAUUGUAUAGAUUUAAGAUUGAUUUUUCAAAGAUCUAAAUAUUGUAAAUUUAUUGAUAUAUAUAUUGGUGAUGUUAAGUGUAUUUUAUUUAUUUGUGACUUUAGUAAUUUUGAUAUUGGUUCUAUUU
Humulus lupulus (European hop) is the source of this 746-nucleotide long non-coding RNA. RefSeq lists it as uncharacterized. The record is from RefSeq and is a predicted model, not a curated record. Lineage: Eukaryota; Viridiplantae; Streptophyta; Magnoliopsida; Rosales; Cannabaceae. The transcript is spliced from 4 exons.